RNAcentral lists this long non-coding RNA (990 nucleotides) under Cucumis sativus (cucumber). RNAcentral's name for it is "long non-coding RNA (CSAT_LNC002674)". The record is from RNAcentral. Lineage: Eukaryota; Viridiplantae; Streptophyta; Magnoliopsida; Cucurbitales; Cucurbitaceae.
UGCUCUACAUGAAUUAUAUUUUGAAGUGAUAUAUUUUACAAUCUUUACAUGAAAACAACUUCAAAGUUUCCAUCUCCUGCUUUCCAAACCUCAAGAAUCAAAUAAGAACGGAAAUUAAACUCUUAAAUAAUACAAAAUUUCCUAUAAUUUUUAAUUUUCUCGGUUAGGAACCAAGAACAAUAUAAUUUAUAAUGCUGAAAAUAAAAAAAGAAAAAAAAGUAGAAAGAUAAAAAGAUAAUACUAUUAAGAUCCUAAAAAAAGAAAAAGAAAAAAGUAUCCACAAACAUUACCUUAUCUCAAAAAAGAAUUAAUAAGAAAACAAAAUAUAUAUUAUAUAUGUGAAAAAAGAAAAGAAAAAAAAGGUAUCAUUAUCUUUUAAAGGAAUCUACGGCGGCGAUGUGUUGAAAAAUUAUGAUCUCCGAUUUAGGGUUUUUAGGGAAAAAUGAGAAGAGAUAUAUAAAUCCUUGAAGUAUCGAAAACCCCUUUUUUUUUCUUUCUUCAGUGCAGUUUCAGCUGCCCUCCGAUUGAAAACCCUCAAAUCUCCGUCUUCUUCUCCGCCCUCGGAUCCAGGGCUCCGACCAUCUAUCCCUUCUUUUACCUUCCCUCUCCUCCACUAUCAUUCUCUCCCCCACCCACCCCUUUCACAACAAACCCUAAAAAAACAAACUCUUUUUCUUCUUACCACAGAAAAAAAAAAACCCCAAAACAUUCUUCUUCCUAUUUCUUCCUUACUAUCAAUUUCUCUUCUUUUUUCUGUUCAUCUUGCCGUUACUGCUUUAUUCUGAAUAAUAGAGGAGAGGGAAGCGAGUCAAAGAUAAAAAAAAAUCUAAAAAUUUUUUGAAAAAUCAAAAAGAAAACAACACACAACAUUCCACCGAGUUUUUCUCUCUCUCCACCAUGGCUCAGGUUCCACCUCAACCUCAAGUUCCUAACUCCGGCGCCGAUCCGGCUGCCAAUGGAGGGGCAAAUCAGCAUGUCACCACCUCCCUC